AGAAUGUAGGUGGGGGUCUGUGGUGGUGUAGAGAUGGUCUGUGUUGGUCUGUGGUGGUGUUGAGAUGGUAGGUGGUCGUGUAGAGAUGGUAGGUGGGGGUCUGUGGUGGUGUAGAGAUGGUCUGUGUUGGUCUGUGGUGGUGUUGAGAUGGUAGGUGGUCGUGUAGAGAUGGUAGGUGAUGGUCUGUGGUGGUGAAGGGAUGGUAGGUGGGGGUCUGUGGUGGUGUAGAGAUGGUAGGUGGUGGUCUGUGGGGGUGUAGAGAUGGUAGGUGAAGUGUCUGUGGUGUUGCAGAGAUGGUAGGUGGUGGUCUGUGGUGGUGUAGAGAUGGUAGGUGGUGGUCUGUGGUGGUGUAGAG
RNAcentral lists this long non-coding RNA (355 nucleotides) under Salmo salar (Atlantic salmon). Its description in RNAcentral is "lncRNA (ENSSSAG00000114799.1)". The record is from RNAcentral. Lineage: Eukaryota; Metazoa; Chordata; Actinopteri; Salmoniformes; Salmonidae.